GACGAACGCUGGCGGCGUGCUUAACACAUGCAAGUCGAGCGGUAAGGCCCUUUCGGGGGUACACGAGCGGCGAACGGGUGAGUAACACGUGAGCAACCUACCCUCAACUUCGGGAUAAGCCUCGGAAACGGGGUCUAAUACCGGAUAUCACUUCGAAUCUCAUGGUUCGGGGUUGAAAGUUCUGGCGGUUGGGGAUGGGCUCGCGGCCUAUCAGCUUGUUGGUGGGGUAAUGGCCUACCAAGGCGUCGACGGGUAGCCGGCCUGAGAGGGCGACCGGCCACACUGGGACUGAGACACGGCCCAGACUCCUACGGGAGGCAGCAGUGGGGAAUAUUGCGCAAUGGACGAAAGUCU
Molecule: ribosomal RNA, 354 nt
Filed under: uncultured bacterium
Lineage: Bacteria
Description: bacterial SSU rRNA
Rfam family: Bacterial small subunit ribosomal RNA
Source: RNAcentral